This 478-nucleotide ribosomal RNA is filed under the name Acrapex zima. RNAcentral's name for it is "partial 16S large subunit ribosomal RNA". The record is from RNAcentral. Lineage: Eukaryota; Metazoa; Arthropoda; Insecta; Lepidoptera; Noctuidae.
UGUCUUUUUGAAAAUAAUAUAAAGUCUAGUCUGCCCACUGAUUAAAUAAUUGAAGGGCUGCAGUAUAUUGACUGUACAAAGGUAGCAUAAUCAUUAGUCAUUUAAUUGGUGACUUGUAUGAAAGAUUGGAUGAGAUAUAAACUGUCUUUAAUUUAAAUGUAAAAUUUAAUUUUUUUAUUAAAAAGUUAAAAUAUUUUAAAAAGACGAGAAGACCCUAUAGAGUUUAAUAAAUACUUAAAUUGAGAUUAUAUUUAAAAUAAACUUAAAAUUUAAUUGUUUAUUUUGUUGGGGUGACAAAAAAAUAUAUAAAACUUUUUUUAUUAAUAAAACAUAUAUAAGUGAUUAAAUGAUCCAUUAAUAUUGAUUAUAAGAAAAAAUUACCUUAGGGAUAACAGCGUAAUUUUUUUUUUUAGUUCAAAUAAGAAAAAGAGUUUGCGACCUCGAUGUUGGAUUAAGAUAAAAUUUAAAUGCAGAAGUU